GCUUUACAUAACUUGAAGGGCGAGGCGGGCAGCUGCAGGUGGCGGCGCCGGGCUGGCCAAGGACCGAAGCCACGAGAAACCGCGCCGCCGUCUCCCGCGACCCUGGAGCGGCGACCCCGUUACCUUUCCAAAUGCCCAGGGAGAGCUGGGACUCGUCCAGGUUCACCACAUAGUCUCCCAGGAACCGGUUCAACACUUCCACGACCACCGACUCGAAUACCAUUUUUUUUCCUCUCUGCCGCGGAGGGCACCGCGGCACUACCCGGGCUGCUCCUCCCUCGAGACGGCUCGGCUUACCGGCUCCCGGCCCGCUCCAGCUACGGUGCGGGUGCUGCCGGGUCCCCUCAACCCGACCGCGAGCCCCACAGAAGGAAGGUAGCCGCUCGCACCACGCGUGCGCAGCUCGGGCUGCGCGUGGGGGCGUGACCGACGCGGAACUGGAGGCGCGGCCGGGAGCGAGAGUGAAGGACGGCGGCUGCGCAGCCGCGGGCCCGCCCUUGCCCGCGAGCGGACCGCCGGGCCUCUCCCGCCGGCCGCGCCUCCUAUCCGUCGCUUAG
This 557-nucleotide long non-coding RNA is filed under the name Mus musculus (house mouse). Its description in RNAcentral is "long non-coding RNA chr19:16780546-16781103". The record is from RNAcentral. Lineage: Eukaryota; Metazoa; Chordata; Mammalia; Rodentia; Muridae.